GAAAACUACUUGAGUGUUUCUACUGCCCCCCGAGAUCUGCUUAUGAGUGCAUGGGGAUUGCGGUGGACCUUCUCUCCGGUUUAAACAGACUUUGGAGGCUGGCGCAUGAAUCUUCAUUCACAAAAGGUAUCAACAGUAUGACUGUGGAAGUUCCAUUAUUCUUGGGAGUUAUGCCCAGCAACACAAACCAAUCAUAUCCAGCACGUACAUUGGAUCUGCUAACUUUACUUUAGGAUACCUAGGAUUUCAAAAGUUCACCAUGUUCAGGAAAGAAGACGUUUUACUUGGUAAAUGAAGGAGAGAAAAAUUGCAAGGGAGGAGGUGUAUAGUUUACAUGGUGCAUUUUUUAAGUACUAUGACUAGGGUGAAGAAGGGGAUUUCACUUGGAUAACUGCACUGAGGCUUGGUUAACUGAGGAACAGAAACAGCACAUCUCUGUGGUAUGGAUUAUUUAUGAAGAGUUAUCACAGGUUUGCAUAAACAGAUGAUUAACAGAUGAUUAAUAGCUGACCAUACCAAGUUUGAACCUGACCACCCCAUUUU
Molecule: long non-coding RNA, 543 nt
Organism: Saccostrea cuccullata (small rock oyster)
Lineage: Eukaryota; Metazoa; Mollusca; Bivalvia; Ostreida; Ostreidae
Exons: 4
Source: RefSeq, a predicted model, not a curated record